AAAAACUCCGGUGGUGUAAGAUGGACCCGCGUCUGAUUAGCUGGUUGGUGAGGUAACGGCUCACCAAGGCGACGAUCAGUAGCCGGCCUGAGAGGGUGAACGGCCACAUUGGGACUGAGACACGGCCCAAACUCCUAGGGGAGGCAGCAGUGGGGAAUAUUGCACAAUGGGGGAAACCCUGAUGCAGCAACGCCGCGUGAGUGAAGAAGUCAUUCGUGAUGUAAAGCUCUAUCAGCAGGGAAGAAAAUGACGGUACCUGACUAAGAAGCCCCGGCUAACUACGUGCCAGCAGCCGCGGUAAUACGUAGGGGGCAAGCGUUAUCCGGAUUUACUGGGUGUAAAGGGAGCGUAGACGGCGACGCAAGUCUGAAGUGAAAUGCCAGUGCUCAACACUGGAACUGCUUUGGAAACUGUGUGGCUAGAGUGCAGGAGAGGUAAGUGGAAUUCCUAGUGUAGCGGUGAAAUGCGUAGAUAUUAGGAGGAACACCAGUGGCGAAGGCGGCUUACUGGACUGUAACUGACGUUGAGGCUCGAAGGCGUGGGGAGCAAACAGGAUUAGGUACCCUGGUAGUCCACGCGGUAAACGAUGAUUACUAGGUGUCGGGGGGCUAUAGCCCUUCG
Molecule: ribosomal RNA, 621 nt
Filed under: uncultured bacterium
Lineage: Bacteria
Description: bacterial SSU rRNA
Rfam family: Bacterial small subunit ribosomal RNA
Source: RNAcentral